CUACGGGAUGCUCCAGUGAGGAAUAUUGCACAAUGGGGGGAACCCUGAUGCAGCAACGCCGCGUGGAGGAUGACGCAUUUCGGUGUGUAAACUCCUUUUAUAUGUCAAGAAAAUGACGGUAGCAUAUGAAUAAGCACCGGCUAACUCCGUGCCAGCAGCCGCGGUAAUACGGAGGGUGCAAGCGUUACUCGGAAUCACUGGGCGUAAAGGAAGCGUAGGCGGGUUGGAAAGUCAGGUGUGAAAUCCUACAGCUUAACUGUAGAACUGCACUUGAAACUUCUAAUCUAGAGUAUGGUAGGGGGAGAUGGAAUUAGUGGUGUAGGGGUAAAAUCCGUAGAUAUCACUAGGAAUACCUAAAGCGAAGGCGAUCUCCUGGAACAUAACUGACGCUAAGGCGUGAAAGCGUGGGGAGCAAACAGGAUUAGAUACCCUAGUAGUC
RNAcentral lists this ribosomal RNA (439 nucleotides) under uncultured bacterium. Its description in RNAcentral is "partial 16S ribosomal RNA". It matches the Rfam family "Bacterial small subunit ribosomal RNA", at positions 339 to 795 of the family's 1533-position model. The record is from RNAcentral.